CUACAAACUCUACAAAGAACACCACACACACACACAAGCCAGCAACAAAAAAAGGGCAUAAUCAAAAAGAAAAAGGUACCCCCCCCUAUCUACACACACACGCGCACCCUCACAUAGGUAUAUAUAUAUACCACAUUCCAGAACAGGCCUCCCUCGUAUUUAUUUUUCCUGUUUUUCGUUCUCUCUCUGUUUUCCUCUCUUGCUGGCUUGGCUUGUUUACGUUGCACUCUCAUUGUCUCUUCAGCGCCUCUCUCCCGCACGCACACACACACACACACUCGACGCCCUCUACAUUUACGUGCGUGCUCCCUUUGUUGUUGUUUUCUCGGAGAAUAGAAGACCGAAUAAUACAGCUGUGAGUAGUGAGUGCGUGGGCGGUUUAGCGAGCCAAUCUCGAUAGCAUCGACAAGACGCAAAAAAGACAAGCAGCCUUGCACUCUCUUGCAUACUUACGACCCAGUCGCCCACAACGAUACAUACGCACCGAUACGGUCACUGUGUACCCUCCUUCCUCCUCCCUUUUGCGUCCUUUUUGGGGGGGGCUCUUGCUGGCGUAUUCUGUAGCGCUUGUUUUGGACUUCAGCGCAUCGUUGGGGUACCUGGCACCAGUCAUAGUCCUCCGCACCCUCCUAGCAACGCUGUAGCUUGCCAAACAUCCACAUUGCAAGACGAUCGAAAUGUACUCGGAACAGAGCUGGAACGAUCACCACAGCGUCUCAGGCACGCAGCGCUUUACGCGUGGCGGCGGUAUCGGCAGCAUCAACCCUAGUGGCCGCGGCGGGGCUGGCGGCUACGACGUGGGAAGCGCAGCCGCCGCAGGCGGGUACAACAGCGUCGCGGCCGCACGUCAGCAGUCUCCACAGCCCACAUCCUUUUACCCUCCUGUAACCUCGCGCUUUACUCCUAUGGACUUCGAGCUUUUUAUCAACAGCAACCGUGACCCCACCGAUGAGAUGCGGCGUUCGCAGGAGUACUACUACUGGUACCACAGCAAGCAGCCUCGAGACCCCCGCGUGCCGCAACCGCUACCCUCUCUGGAGGUGCAGGAAACAUUCACCACCAUGGAGACGCCGUGGGAGGAUGUGAGUGCGAUGCCCUCCUCUACUGCUGUUCGCGCAGGUACUGCUAGCGGCUUGGGGCGCAAGAUGGGUGGCAAGAGCCUCGCCCUCGACGCCAAGGAUCUUUGCGAAACGCAGGAGGCGCAGGCCAUCAACCCGUACGGGCACAGCCUCAUCACCGAGAGCAACAUGAUGAGCCCUAGCACGCAGUUCUUUGCGGCGUAUGCCCCAACACCGCUGGCAAUGGCAACCCCCAGCACCCUCCGCGCCUACGCGCACGGUCACUUGCCCAUGCCUUCAUCCGGCAACCGCGGCAGCUAUGAGGGGGAGAUGGCCGGCGGAGUCACGUACGGCCGCGGCACCGCGCCCGCCGCCAAGAGUAUCGCCUCACAGCAGUACUACACGCAGGAGCCCAUGAACGCCUUUGGCCUCUACAACACUGGAGUGGACCCCGGUUCCAACUACUACGACGCCACGCAGGGCAGCAGCAGCAACGGUCUUGGCGCUGGCCACGGCAAUCCAUACCAGCUGAUGGAAGGCAUGGGUGAGGUAGACCCAACCAUGUUGUACAGCCAGCCUGGGACGGACUGCGGCUUCCAGAGUCGCGGCACAGGCCGUGGCGGGAAUCGUCGCUACAACAACAACAGCGCUGGAGGUGGCGUUGGCGGUGGGCGUGUUGGCCGGAACAACUACCGUGGUGGACGCGGCGCUGGUGGUAUGGGCAGCAUGGAGAGUGGCAGUGGCCCGAACAGCCACCGCUUUGUCGGCUCGGAGAAGCUGCGCAUGUUUCGCCACGACGUGGCGGAGCAGAAGACGUCACAGUGGCGCCUGGACGACCUCAAGGGCUACGCUGUGGAGUUUGCCAAAGACCAGGAGGGCAGCCGUUUCAUCCAGAGUGCCGUCGACACGGCCAGCCCCGAGUCGCUGGACGUCCUCUUCCACGAGAUCUUUGAAUCUCCGCUAGAGCUGGUGACGGACAUCUUCGGCAACUACGUUCUGCAGAAGCUCUUGGACAAGGGCAACACGCCGCAGCUCACCUUUGCGGCGGAGCGGAUGUGCGGCCAUGUAGUGGAGCUCACCAUGCAGACGUACGGGUGCCGUGUGAUUCAGAAGUGCAUAGAGGUGAUGCCUUCAGCUGGCCUGGACAUCAUUCUCGCCGAGCUCAAGGACAACGUGGCAAAGUGCAUCCAGGACCAAAACGGCAACCACGUCAUCCAGAAGUGCGUCGAGGUCAUUCCACAACGGUGUGGCUUUAUUAUUUCGGCCUUCUCGGGUCGAGUGAUGGAGCUGGCCACGCACGCGUACGGGUGUCGUGUGAUUCAGUGCAUCAUGCAGCACUGCCCUGAGCAGGAGGAUACCAUCUUCAACGAGCUCCUCAAGGCGGUCGAUGUGCUGGCGAAGGAUCAGUACGGCAACUACGUGAUUCAGCACGUUUUGCAGAACGUAAAAGAUGAGAGCAAGAUCGAGUCCGUCUACGCGGCGCUGAAGCCCAAGUUCUUCUACCUGAGCAAGCAGAAGUUUGCCUCGAACGUGAUGGAGAAGCUCUACGCCCGCUCGAGCCCUGCGAACCGCAUGGAGAUUGUGGAGAUGAUGUGCGCCGACUUCCCCAGCAAGGCAGAUCACGUGGAGAUCGUCGCCUUUAAGCGGUCCGCGACAAAGACUGCGGCGAUAGUGAACGCGGAGGAGGGUACUUGGCCGCCGACGAGGAGCAACGCCGAUGGCACGGUAAAAGAGGUGAAGGAGAAGAACCGCGAGGCGAAGGAUGCGGCGAUGGGCAUCAUUGAGGAAGUCGUCUCGGUGGGCCUCGGUCAGCCCAGCAUGCUCUGCCUCAUGAUGAGCGACCAGUACGCCAACUACGUGGUGCAGCGCGUCCUGGACGCGUCCGAGGUGGACCAGUUCGUGAAGCUCGUCGACAACAUCGAGAAGUAUAUACUGCCGAUUCGCACCUACACCUACGGCCGCCCCAUUGUGCAGCGGCUUUCUCGCCGCAAGCUAGUGCUCGCCCCGGGCGACGAGGCGGGAGAGGCAGGUAGCACCAGUAUGAGUAGCCACAAUCACAACGAGGGUCGCGCCAACCAUAAUGAGGGCCGCUCCAACCACAACGAGGGCCGCGCCAACCACCACCGCCGCUAAAGCAACAAAGUUAGGACCCGUGAGGGCAGACAAGGCUAGCCGCGACAUGUCGUUCUCUAUUCUCGUGUGUGUGUGUGUGUGCUUUUUGGUUUUCGCUUUUUCUGAGCCUCUCACCCCUCCCCUCCCCUCCCCUCCGCCUCGCUGUUCGGCUGCCCAUGAUGCGCUUCGCUUCACACACACACGCGCACAGCACCUCGCUUUUGAUGCUGCGUGCGUGUUGGUGGAUGAUGGUGCCGUUUUGAUUUGGGUAGCUUCCCUCCCCCCUCUCCCCUGCCCUUGCCGCUGCACUCGGACUCCAUGGAGACUCUGGUGUGUGCAUCUUCUUCAUCUUUCCUCGACUAUUUGUUCCACCGAGCCUCUCCGCGUUCGCUUCUUCGGGCGCCUUCCCCCCCCCCCCACGCGUCUCUCGCCCUCUUCUUGUGAACGGAGGGGGAGAAUGGAUGGCGUGUUUACGCCUCUCCCGAUUCCGCGCCUCGCCCCUUUCUCUUCUUUCCCCUCCUGACCCCUUCUCCGAUGUAUGUUCCGGUGUGUAUUACGUUGCCUUCAGUUCUUUAGGCAUAAGCGUCUGAGUGAUUUGCUCUUGCUCUGCGAUUAGUUCUUCUUGCCUUUCUUCUCUCUUCGACAGGUGGUGCGCUCUAGCACCUUUCCACCUUUCUCUCUCUCAUAAUAUAUCAUAUUGGGUCUUUUUGUUUGGUGUCUGUGUUCGGCUUGGUUUUCUCUUCAGGUUGUGUGACCGUGUGCGCGCCGGUGAGCGAGUCGACGUACACACGCAGAUGCACCUUCGCCAGCACGCACACCCUUGACAGACGCGUCCUCCUCUCCACCCCCCCCCCAACCCCUUUCCUUCUCUGCGCUGUCGCAGCGCCACUGGUAAAGAACGAGAAGUGAAAGGAAAGAGCCACCGACUUUACGAAAACGAUAAAGUGAUGUGACUUGGAGAGAGAUCCGUCGGGUGUGCGUGUGUGUGUGUGUUUUCUGAUUGAUCACUUCUUCGCCGUACGCGCUCUCUCCCUAAAUUUACCUCCGUCGUCUUUCUCUCCCGUUUUUCGUUUCGUCGUUUUUUUUUCGCUUUUUUUUCGUCUCUGUUUCGAACUCUGGGCUAUCUCCAUCUACCAGCUGUAUCACGAAACGGUAGAACAAAUAUAUACAAGAAAACGAAAAGACAUUUGCACGCACCCGAACCCACACAGAGACACGCAACCACAAACGCAAGGAAGAAGAAGGCUCUGCAUGUUUCUCCAUCUCUUUUGGGGGAGAAGGUGGAGUACGUCUUGUGUGCUCAGGGGACAUCACCCCUCCAUCCCUUCCCCUCCCUUCAUCUCCCCCGCAAAGGAAAAAAAAACAAUCUCCUUUCCGUUAACCGCCAAACCCCUUCACGCACCUCCCGAUACAGGACUGAGAUGCGGAGGGAAAGUGAAAGGGUAAAGGAAACGGACGGGCAAGUGCGACCAAGUGUAUCUGGAACUCCUCUUGCGAACCACAGACUCCAUCCCCACAUCCUCGCGCACAUAUGCGUCACGAGCAGUGUCACAGGAAGACGAAACGGGCGGCGAAGUCGGCCAAGGCGUCACGAGCCGUUGUUGCCUCUCUCUCUCUCGUUGAUCGUCGCUCGUGAUCGUGCGGUUCGGUGUGCAUGUGCACGUGUGUCUACGUCAGUGUUCUCUUCCGACGAAGGGUCAGUAUUAGAUUCGGCUCUCUUUGUUUGAGGUGUGCGCCUUCUUUCUUGUUGUUUUGGCUGGUUCUUUUCGUUUUGCGGGUCUCUUUCCAGCUGUUCACGAGUCUUCUUCCCUUUUCUUUGUGUGUGUGUGUGUGUGUGUGGCUUUCGUUGUGUGCAUGUUCGUGUGCUUUCCUUUGUUGUUGUUUUGGUCUUUGCCGACGAAGCAAUAAACGGCUCCUACAUUUCCCGCGUUUUCUUCGUGUCUCUUUUCCCGCCUCCCUUCCCCGUGGAACUUUCACUCGCCGUCGCCGUUUCAGGUCAUCUCCCGCGCAGCAGCCGCGGUCUUUGUCCAGUGCGAUUCGGCUUGCUUUGAUCGCCCCCCAAAACGCACACGCGCGACCGAAGCGAACAGCACGUGCUGUGCAAGAGCAAAGCAAAAAAAAAAAGAAGGGGCCAGAUAGAAGGCCGUCAUGGCGUUAGGCCUCAGGGAUGAGGCCGCUGAUGGAGUACAGAAGAAAAAGGCCAGCAUAAGUGCUCGCGCCAGCGGAAGGGAUAAACAUGCGUUAGGAGGGGGCGUGUAAGUCUGGCAAGCGACUCUCGUUUAGUUUUUUUUUGUAUCUUCUCGCCUUCUGACUUUGCCUUCACACUCGCCUUCCCUCCUACCUAAGCAUCACUGUAAACCAAGCUUCAACAAACUACCUCACCACAUGUUUUCCUUUUCCUUGAGCUCUCCCCAUACACACAAGCACGCAAUCUUUUCGCUGCUUCCACUUCUCUUCCUCUCCCCCAUCACCCUCGCCUGACAACGAGGACAACCCUCCUUGCCGCCGUGAUACUUGGCAACGGAGAACGAACGAAAACAAAAGGAAGAGAGGAGACAGGCGGGAAACCUCAUUUGAAGUAUUUAACAAGAGAAAAUUAGAAAAAUGAAAGAAGCAAUGCGACCGUAGAACAUUUACUCUCUCUCGCUCUCUGCCUGUAUUUGUCAGCCCAUGUAAAACAGCUAUGCUAUCUCAUCCCCACCUUCGUCUGUGUUUUGCUUUGUUAUCUGCGCCCACUACCAUUACCAUUUACCUUUUCGCGAUCACUGCCCUUUUUUUUUUCACGUUCUCUUCACAACUACCCUCUACACUUGGCACUCUCCUUUCCCCCUUGCUGGCAAUGUGUGCGUGUGUUCUUGUUUCCAAGUUUCGUCUUUUUCUCUUUUCCUUUUUCUUUGUGUACGCUUGUGUGUGUGUGUGUAUGCUGCUGCUGCUGCUGCUGCUGUGGUUGUUGGAUGUGGCGAUGUCGCGGGUCGCGUCUUCGUGUACGUGUGUGUUUGUGUGAUCAUCGCUGCUUCGCUCGUUCGCUCUUUCACUCUUUCUCUCUCGCGUGCGUGUGUGUGUGUGUGUGUGUUUGCCUGAUUUUUUGUUUCUUCGUUCUUAUGCUCCUUUCCACUUCCUCUCUCCCCCUCUCUCCUCUUUUUUUUUUUCGCGGAGUUAUUUGUUGAUCUCGCCCCCGCUGUUCGAUCCUCCUCGCUCACGUUUUUUUUUAUCUCGUGUUGUUGCCAUCUUCGUUUUCCCCGGCACCGCGUCGGUGUGGUCGUUUGGUGUUGUGUUUCGAUUCGCUUUGCCGCUGUCGAAUACGCCCCACCGUCUUCGGCGGAGGAGGCCGCGAGAACGAGCAAGAGAAAGCAGGGCUGCAAAGCCGGUGCGGAUGAAAAAAGAAGGCGACCGAAAGGCGCGCAAGUCAUUUUUUUUUGUUGCAUGGAAGUUUUUUGAUGAUGUGGUGAUUUUUUGUUUUUCCUUUGGUGCUGUCGCUUGCCAUCGUGUUUGGUGCGUCGGUGAGGAUAUGCCGGUGUGUAAGUGUUUUGUGUAUGUGUUUCGUGUGUUAUAAUGUGUAUUCCUCCUCGUCGUUUUGGUGUUUGUUUUUCUCUUUCUUCUUUUUCCUCACUGUCUCUCUCUCUCUCUCUCCUUUUUUCAAAGAAAAAAAGGAACGUGCGUGUGCGCAUGUGAGUGCUUCCCGAUGCAUGCACGGCGUACGUUUCGAUCAACGCCGCUGGUGCUAUUCUCAUUCGCAGACACGCAUACACAGAGACUUGCACGCGCGCACCUUCUCUCACGCUCUCACUUGGCUACGAUGAAUAGAGAAGAGCAGCGGCAAACAUGGUCAUUGAUGGUCAGCAGGAAAGAAGUGUCUCUUGCGCAAUCUAUGUGAGGCAGAAAGAGAAAGAAAGGACGGCUCGAUAUGCGCUUGACGCAGGCAGCUCUUUUUUUUUUUGUUUUCAUCAGGGGCUCGGUAAACACCACCGGACGCUGAGAAACGCAGGCACGUCUCUCAGCCUCGCACGCACGCUCGGGCCCAUACGCGCGCGCACCGUCAGAGCUGAGAAACAAAAAAGGUUGAACUAACAGAUAGCGACUGAUGGAGCAAGGAAAGUAUUUCUUUUCUUCUGUCUGUUUCUGGUUCAUUGUGCGUGCCCGUGUCGGGAGGAACAUGACGAAGACUCUCCUGGUGGUAAGGACGAUUAUUGCAGUGGGUGCUAUUGCCCUUGUAUCACCACCUCUGUUGUCCAGCAGCACGGCCGGCAGGGGGGUGUACAUGUAAAUGUGUACCGUUGUUGCCCCAAUGUGUUUGGUGCGCGUGGAAGUUGGGGAUGUGGGGACAGAGAGACGAGGGUAGAGAGGUGGUGGUGAAGCGAGGGACAAGGUGCAAAGGAACGUAUACGCACGCCGUGUUGUGUGCAAUGGAAGGAAGUGGAGGGGAAGAGAGACGCUGGCGUGACUCUGCUGCUUGCAAAGGUGCGUCGACUCGUCCUCUCCCUCGCUCUCCUCGUCAUCCACCCUUUUUUUCACCUCCGCACUGCUACCACCAUCAUCGCCACCACGGCCGUCUUUCCUCGCCUCCCUCGGCCCACACACAAGCACAG
RNAcentral lists this unclassified non-coding RNA (7756 nucleotides) under Leishmania donovani. Its description in RNAcentral is "gene:LdHU3.33.1850(CDS-product:pumilio_protein_6_ putative)". The record is from RNAcentral. Lineage: Eukaryota; Euglenozoa; Kinetoplastea; Trypanosomatida; Trypanosomatidae.